This 406-nucleotide ribosomal RNA is filed under the name uncultured bacterium. RNAcentral's name for it is "partial 16S ribosomal RNA". It matches the Rfam family "Bacterial small subunit ribosomal RNA", at positions 30 to 526 of the family's 1533-position model. The record is from RNAcentral.
AUUGAACGCUGGCGGCAGGCCUAACACAUGCAAGUCGAGCGAGCGGCGGACGGGUGAGUAAUGUCUGGGAAACUGCAUGAUGGAGGGGGAUAACUACUGGAAACGGUAGCUAAUACCGCAUACCAUCAGAUGUGCCUAGAUGGGAUUAGCUAGUAGGUGGGGUAACGGCCCACCUAGGCGACGAUCCUUAGCUGGUCUGAGAGGAUGACCAGCCACACUGAAACGGAGACACGGUCCAGACUCCCACGGUAGGCAGCAGUAGGGAAUGUUGCGCAAUGGGCGCAAGCCUUAGACAGCCAUUCCGCGUGUGUGAAGAAGGCCUUCGGUUUGUAAAGCACUUUCAGCGGGGAGGCGUUACCCACAGAAGAAGCACCGGCUAACUCCGUGCCAGCAGCCGCGGUAAGAC